RNAcentral lists this ribosomal RNA (253 nucleotides) under uncultured bacterium. RNAcentral's name for it is "partial 16S ribosomal RNA". It matches the Rfam family "Bacterial small subunit ribosomal RNA", at positions 524 to 776 of the family's 1533-position model. The record is from RNAcentral.
UACAGAGGUCCCAAGCGUUGUUCGGAUUCACUGGGCGUAAAGGGUGCGUAGGUGGUGAGGUAAGUCGGAUGUGAAAUCUCCGAGCUCAACUCGGAAACUGCAUUGGAAACUACCUUGCUCGAGGGUUGGAGGGGGGACUGGAAUGCUUGGUGUAGCAGUGAAAUGCGUAGAUAUCAGGAGGAACACCGGUGGCGAAGGCGGGUCUCUGGGCCGAUACUGACGCUGAGGAGCGAAAGCGUGGGGAGCAAACAGG